RNAcentral lists this long non-coding RNA (214 nucleotides) under Elaeis guineensis (African oil palm). RNAcentral describes it as "long non-coding RNA (EGUI_LNC058601)". Lineage: Eukaryota; Viridiplantae; Streptophyta; Magnoliopsida; Arecales; Arecaceae. The record is from RNAcentral.
CGUAACCGACCCAGUAAGAUAUGUUAACACCCUCGAGGAUUUUAGUCUUGAAAUCCUCAGAUACUUUAUAAUCAUCAAUGGCCUGCUCCUGUGCCCGACUAAGUGCUCCUGAGCUGACUUCACUUCCUCUUUGAUGGAAGCCGAUUCUAUAUCGGCCAGUGCCAACAUCUCCUCGGUGGCCCCAACACCAUCCCUGUUCAUUCUCCAGCUCCUC